CAGGUGAGGAACCUGCCUCUGAGAGUGGGAUAGCUUCUGGAAACGGAUGGUAAUACCGCAUAACAUAGUGAAACCGCAUGAUUUUGCUAUCAAAGUAUUUCGCUCAGAGAUGGCCUCGCGUCUGAUUAGAUAGUUGGUGAGGUAACGGCUCACCAAGUCGACGAUCAGUAGCCGGACUGAGAGGUUGAACGGCCACAUUGGGACUGAGACACGGCCCAGACUCCUACGGGAGGCAGCAGUGGGGGAUAUUGCACAAUGGGGGAAACCCUGAUGCAGCGAUGCCGCGUGGAGGAAGAAGGUUUUCGGAUUGUAAACUCCUGUCGUAAGGGAAGAGGAAGGACUGUACCUUACAAGAAAGCUCCGGCUAACUACGUGCCAGCAGCCGCGGUAAUACGUAGGGAGCGAGCGUUGUCCGGAAUGACUGGGUGUAAAGGGAGCGUA
This 441-nucleotide ribosomal RNA is filed under the name uncultured bacterium. RNAcentral describes it as "bacterial SSU rRNA". It matches the Rfam family "Bacterial small subunit ribosomal RNA", at positions 114 to 573 of the family's 1533-position model. The record is from RNAcentral.